GUCGCGGUAAGCAACAAGCAUUUACUUUCGAUAUCAGGUCUCCAAACGGAAAGGAAGAGGAAGCAUUGCGCAGGGGUACGUCGCAAUACCCCCGAGCGACGCGAAACUUGACCAUGGCUUUUAAAAAAAUGUCGAUCUCCUUCGGAUAUUUCGCGUGCCUGUUCCUGUAUCUGCCGUCUGAGCGGGCAACUUUGACCAUUACGGUCCCUGAAGACACAAUUCAAGCCAAACCAGGCUCCGAUGUUCUGCUGCCUUGUUACAUUGAGGAGCCUUCUGGAAACCUAGACCCCAAACGCCUGGCUGUGAUAUGGCGUGUGGGUUCUGAAGUUAUUGCUAGGUAUGAAGAUGAAUUUGAAGCCAUUCGCCAGGGGGCAAAGAUGACUCCUGAAGAACUGAAAAAGGGCAAUGCCAGCCUCCUACUUCCAGAUGUGGAGGACACAGAUGGCAACACUUAUACUUGCUUUGUUAUCCACAGCCCUGACAGUGAAAGUAGGACAGUGGAGUUGAGAGUGGAAGCUCCCCCACACAUAAAACUUGGCUCCACAAAAGUGCAGUUGACAAAGCCGAGUACAGUUGCAUGUACAGCAACAGAUUUUUAUCCUGGCAAUAUCUCUGUGACAUGGCUCCGAAAUAAUAAGAUUGUGCAAGGCCCCGAAUUGCCUCCUGCUCAGCUCAGCACUGACCGCUUGUUCAAAGUAGAGAGUGUCCUGAAGCUCACACCACAAAUUACGGAUGCCACUGCCAACUUCUCCUGCCUUAUCCAUCACCAAGCAAUCGAAGGGCCACUUGUACUAAAUUUUCAGCUGCAGCUGCAAGCUCGCCCAACCCUUCAGCUGCUCCUUAAGCCACCGGGAGAGAAAUUUGUAGCAGCUGUGUGCAACGUGAACGAAUUUUAUCCCUCCCAAAUCCACAUUGAGUGGUUGCAAAAUGGAGUGCCACCAACGCAAAUAAAGUCUGAGGUACACCGCAUGGCCAGUGGGAUGUUUUCCAUUAACAGUGUCCUCUUCCCACAGAAGAGUGAUGUUGCAGUCACUUACGUUUGUCGAGCAGAACAUGAAGCUUUGGAGGCCCCACUGGAGCAGUCUGUCGUUUGGCAGCCAGAAGGUGAGGGUGAUGGGAUUAUCCAUUCCACCCUUCCGAGUACCCAGAGUACCAGGAAUAAAUUUUCUCCCUCACCAUCUUGGCCCACAGUGACCCCUACAACCCCAUCAGUUCUGAAUCUUUGGCCAUUGGGAUUGGCUACUGGACUUGCACUAGGAUUUGGAUUUGCACUAGGAGCUGGAAUAAUGUACUGUAAAUAUACAGUCAAGAAUACUUCACUUAUAGGAACGUGCAAUGAGAAAAUGCCCCUUCAACAGCAAGGUGAAGAGAAGGUCCAUGGCAUCACAAAACCCAGGACAGGAGAGACCAGUGGUAAAUCAGUGAAUCCAGAAGAGUUUCAUGAUGUGGAGGAACAGAGACUUUGACUGGACAAUUACCAUACCCAUUCCACUGAAGAACGUCAUUUGUUUGAAAAUAAGCUACAGGUUUCUCUUUGAUGAUCUGUGUAAUACACUGUUUCCUUCCAUGGCUUAAGGAAGGCACAGAUAUGUGAACCUGAGGCAUCUACAGAAGGCAACAAGUGGGAAUUACCCUUUGGAAUAAGCCAUAAGUCCCAGAUUUCCACUUUUCAUUUUUAAAAACCUACAAAUUAAGUUAUGAAGCAAAACACAAACCCUCCAUUCUAGCUAUUUAUUAGAAAGGGGGGGAAAACCCUGCCUAAUUCUGCUUUUUACAGUUUUUAGCUAGGUGGAUGCAAAACAUUUAGAAAUGGAAACACUUCAAAUUCGAACUACCCUGUUUCAAGCAUGAAACAAUUGUUUCAAGGGGGAAAAGGCUGCUUUGAUCAUUUGGAAGCUUUUCAAACUUGAAACAGUUGUAUGAUAUUCAAAAUGGCCUGUUUGAAUUCUAAAUGUUUUAUACACCCCUGUUUUUCAAAUAGAGUGGCUAUGCAUGUAGGCUGAAGCACAAACUUAACUGGGCUAUUUUUCACUAAAAAAUACUCCCUUAUGGGAAGAGGUUGAUGCCCAACUUUAAAAAAAAAUUCAGAAAUGUAGAAGAGAUUUUAGUGCUGCUGUCAUUGCCAGCUGAGCUUAAAUUGAAAAGAAUUCAUAUUCUUUUAAAUGAAAACCAUAUUUUAAAAGAAGAGUGAAUGGGUGUAAAGGUAGGGGAAGAGCAAGAAAGUUGUCUUUGGGUAGAAUUGAUGAGGUCCUGAAAAAAAAGUGAGAAGUUUAAAGAACACGAGGUAAUGUAUGCAGCAUGGAUGCAGAAGUAAAGAUGGUUUCAAGGUUAGAAAGGUAUGGAAAGGUAUAAUGAGUGUUAUUGAUGAUUAAGCUUCAUUCCUGUUUCUUUUUCUACCUCAUGCCAUGUUUACUAUUUCUUUACACCUUUUCUGUGCUUUGUAUAAAGUUGCUUAACCCAAAAGACAAUAUAGUAGCAAGAUGUAUUCUAAACAUAAGUUCUAUAUGUUUUUUUAAAAAUAAUUCUACCAAUGCAUUAAAACCAUGUUUAUUAUUAGAGCCAUGUUGCAGAAAGGUAGGAGCAGCGAAGUACCAAAAUGUGGGAAGUGCCACUGUAAAUCACCUUUUUGAAUUCCUGUCCAACAUGCCUCAAAUACUGGUGAGACAAGACAAGGGCCCUCUCUUGAACAUUUUAUAACCCAGUGGAUUUGUAUGAGGAAAUACACUAUUUCAAAUAGCUUGAUCUCAAAUCAGAUGAAGCUUUUAGAACCUGAAUAAUUUUGGCUGAAAAUUUUACCCAGAGGGAAAAAUGUGUAUAGGUCCCAAGUAAUUGAGACAUAUACCUUUCUCAAGGUUAUUUCAACUUCGGUAGACCUGUUGCUUAACCUCUCAGUUACUAAACCCUCCCAAAAUGUAGUACAGGGUUUGUUCAUUUUAACCACAUAGCACAUAAUCUGCAAUUCUAAGAACAAGCAUACAGUUGCCAAAGUAUGUGUGUGCUGUCCAGAGUUCAAAUAAUGCAAAAAGCCUAUCUUAACUGAUGCAAAAACAGCUUACCCAUGUUGUGAAAAUAAGGUAAACUCAAUCCUGGGCAAGUAUAUCUAACUUCUUUCCCCCCACCUGAAAGAGACACCAGUGCUAAUCUCUGCAGAGUGUUCACCAAAGUGCCUAAGGUGAAGGAAUUAAUUCCUGAAUAUGUUGAGCCUUUUGCCAAAUUGUGUGAGGGUUUUUAGUUACGAAAACGCUGUCACUUAAGGAUGUUUUGCUAUGUAUCUGUCAAAAAAUGCAAGAGCAGUGAAGAAGAAUGCAGUAUUGCUUUCUUGCAGGUAUAAGAUCCUCUGCAGCCAAAAGCAGUGCCAUGAAAUACAUCUCAGACAUGGCUAGACUUUUACCAAGCAUUAGUUGCCAUUCAAAACCUGUCUUGCAUUGUUAAUAAACAAUCUGUUGAUUUAAUAUUGUAUAUAGGAUCAAAACAGCCUGUUCUGAUGUUAUUUUUACAUUUUUAAUUACAUUUUAUAAUGAUGGUGCUCAUUUUUUAAAACCCUGCUACGUGGCUUCAUUUUAAACUUCCGUUUUUUUGGAACAGAGCAGGAUGUGUUUAGGAUAUGUAUCAGCCAAUGAGGUUGUCAUCAGUUUGAAGUCUUACUGUGAUAAUAGCUAUUAAAAGUAUAUUCAGGGCAGUG
Molecule: non-coding RNA, 3682 nt
Organism: Candoia aspera
Lineage: Eukaryota; Metazoa; Chordata; Lepidosauria; Squamata; Candoiidae
Source: the annotation of a RefSeq genome assembly